This is a long non-coding RNA of Colias croceus (clouded yellow), 485 nucleotides long. RefSeq lists it as uncharacterized. NCBI's taxonomy places the organism in Eukaryota, Metazoa, Arthropoda, Insecta, Lepidoptera, Pieridae. The record is from RefSeq and is a predicted model, not a curated record. The transcript is spliced from 3 exons.
UCCUGUAAGACACACAUUUGUACUGAUUCAUCUCGCAAAACGUUUCUAAAUCCGUUGUAUUCGUAAGGCGAGAAGCUAACAAAGCGUGAGUGUUCUGAAUUUGACGUGAACAUGCACUCGUAAUGAUUUAUUUGCGUAUUUUAAAAAUGAUAAAACGUUUCAGUUCGCGAGUGCUCUUGUUUGUGAAAAUAAUAAACUAUGCUUGCACUUUGCUGAAAUCCGUUUAUGAAAUUGAAAACACACGCACCAAACUCGCUCCUAGUUCGAGUACAAAAUUUCGCUUCGAUGACAGAGUUUGUUCAGUGAAGUUGGACUGUGGGCAGCGCUUAGGUCAAGUCUUUGUGAAGAGUUCCACGCAAACAAGCAAAGUGAACCGCAACGCCGCGUCACACAAUGCUAAGGAAUUCAAGAGCAAUUGAAAUCGACAAUGGAACCAAAUCCCAGCCAUCUUAAUUAGAUGUGCGACCUUGAUGUAUAAUUUUGUU